Molecule: ribosomal RNA, 614 nt
Filed under: uncultured bacterium
Lineage: Bacteria
Description: bacterial SSU rRNA
Rfam family: Bacterial small subunit ribosomal RNA
Source: RNAcentral
ACGGUAACAUUUCUAGCUUGCUAGAAGAUGACGAGUGGCGGACGGGUGAGUAAUACUUAGGAAUAUGCCUUUGUGUGGGGGAUAACCAUUGGAAACGAUGGCUAAUACCGCAUAACGUCUUCGGACCAAAGGGGGCCUUGGCUCCCGCGCAAAGAGUAGCCUAAGCGAGAUUAGCUUGUUGGUGAGGUAAAGGCUCACCAAGGCGACGAUCUCUAGCUGUUCUGAGAGGAAGAUCAGCCACACUGGAACUGAGACACGGUCCAGACUCCUACGGGAGGCAGCAGUGGGGAAUAUUGCACAAUGGGGGAAACCCUGAUGCAGCCAUGCCGCGUGUGUGAAGAAGGCCUUCGGGUUGUAAAGCACUUUCAGUUGUGAGGAAAGGUUAACGGUUAAUACCCGUUAGCUGUGACGUUAGCAACAGAAGAAGGACCGGCUAACUCCGUGCCAGCAGCCGCGGUAAUACGGAGGGUCCGAGCGUUAAUCGGAAUUACUGGGCGUAAAGCGCACGCAGGCGGUUUGUUAAGCUAGAUGUGAAAGCCCUGGGCUCAACCUGGGAAUUGCAUUUAGAACUGGCAGGCUAGAGUUUUGGAGAGGGGAGUGGAAUUCCAGGUGUA